GAUGAACGCUAGCGGGAGGCCUAACACAUGCAAGCCGAGCGGUAUUGUUUCUUCGGAAAUGAGAGAGCGGCGUACGGGUGCGUAACACGUGUGCAACCUGCCUUUAUCUGGGGGAUAGCCUUUCGAAAGGAAGAUUAAUACUCCAUAAUAUAUUGAACGGCAUCGUUUAAUAUUGAAAGCUCCGGCGGAUAGAGAUGGGCACGCGCAAGAUUAGCUAGUUGGUGAGGUAACGGCUCACCAAGGCGAUGAUCUUUAGGGGGCCUGAGAGGGUGAUCCCCCACACUGGUACUGAGACACGGACCAGACUCCUACGGGAGGCAGCAGUGAGGAAUAUUGGUCAAUGGGUGCAAGCCUGAACCAGCCAUCCCGCGUGAAGGACGACUGCCCUAUGGGUUGUAAACUUCUUUUGUAUAGGGAUAAACCUACCCUCGAGAGGGUAGCUGAAGGUACUAUACGAAUAAGCGCCGGCUAACUCCGUG
RNAcentral lists this ribosomal RNA (479 nucleotides) under uncultured bacterium. Its description in RNAcentral is "partial 16S ribosomal RNA". It matches the Rfam family "Bacterial small subunit ribosomal RNA", at positions 28 to 507 of the family's 1533-position model. The record is from RNAcentral.